CCCCCUUGACCGGUGUCGCCCCGUUCGGCUACUCCGAAGUUCUCAGGCGGAACGUCUUCACCGGUUGUCCCCGUUAUUAAACCCAUGUUGUUGAAGGAAUUCUCCCUUGAGCCCCAGUUAAAGCGGCGGGAACCCUCAGUAGCGGCUUGACAAUCGAAGAACUCGCAGACCGCUGUUCUCCUCCUCGCACUCUUCUUAGUCUGUGACAUCAUCUUGAGAUUGGCCUCCGGGGCAGAGGCCCCGGUGGGGGAACCCCUUGGAGAGACUCGAGGGACCGGAAGCGGCGGAAAGCCGGCGGAGAUGGCAAAGACCGACGCGAAAGGUGCUUGGAGUCGGAAGGGGCACCGAUGGAGUGGCUGAGUGGCUAAGCUCUCAGGCGAAAGAAGGAUGUCGUGAAGCCCCUGGAGGAAAGGUGGGGGCUUAAAUAGGCAACGGGGCCUGGCGCAGUUAUGGUGGCAGGUGUCCCUAGGCCAACCAGUGCCCACCACGUGUCCCGCGUGUCCCACUCACCGCGACCUGGGGUUGACCGUUCGUAAACUUUCAUGACACGAUGCUUGGGAUCACGUCC
This 568-nucleotide long non-coding RNA is filed under the name Elaeis guineensis (African oil palm). RNAcentral describes it as "long non-coding RNA (EGUI_LNC039584)". The record is from RNAcentral. Lineage: Eukaryota; Viridiplantae; Streptophyta; Magnoliopsida; Arecales; Arecaceae.